RNAcentral lists this ribosomal RNA (253 nucleotides) under uncultured bacterium. RNAcentral describes it as "partial 16S ribosomal RNA". It matches the Rfam family "Bacterial small subunit ribosomal RNA", at positions 524 to 776 of the family's 1533-position model. The record is from RNAcentral.
UACGUAGGGGGCUAGCGUUGUCCGGAUUUAUUGGGCGUAAAGAGCUCGUAGGCGGCUUGUCGCGUCGACUGUGAAAUCCCGCGGCUCAACUGCGGGUCUGCAGUCGAUACGGGCAGGCUAGAGUUCGGUAGGGGAGACUGGAAUUCCUGGUGUAGCGGUGAAAUGCGCAGAUAUCAGGAGGAACACCGAUGGCGAAGGCAGGUCUCUGGGCCACUACUGACGCUGAGAAGCGAAAGCGUGGGGAGCGAACAGG